Molecule: ribosomal RNA, 403 nt
Filed under: bacterium
Lineage: Bacteria
Description: partial 16S ribosomal RNA
Rfam family: Bacterial small subunit ribosomal RNA
Source: RNAcentral
UGGGGAAUAUUGCACAAUGGGGGAAACCCUAAUGCAGCGACGCCGCGUGAACGAAGAAGGUAUUCGUAUCGUAAAGUUCUGUCCUAUGGGAAGAUAAUGACAGUACCAUAGAAGAAAGCUCCGGCUAAAUACGUGCCAGCAGCCGCGGUAAUACGUAUGGAGCGAGCGUUGUCCGGAAUUAUUGGGCGUAAAGGGUACGCAGGCGGUUUAAUAAGUCGAAUGUUAAAGAUCGGGGCUCAACCCCGUAAAGCAUUGGAAACUGAUAAACUUGAGUAGUGGAGAGGCAAGUGGAAUUCCUAGUGUAGUGGUGAAAUACGUAGAUAUUAGGAGGAAUACCAGUAGCGAAGGCGACUUUCUGGACACAAACUGACGCUGAGGUACGAAAGCGUGGGGAGCAAACAGG